GAUGUUGGCUUAGAAGCAGCCAUCAUUUAAAGAAAGCGUAAUAGCUCACUGGUCGAGUCGGCCUGCGCGGAAGAUGUAACGGGGCUAAACCAUGCACCGAAGCUGCGGCAGCGACACUAUGUGUUGUUGGGUAGGGGAGCGUUCUGUAAGCCUGCGAAGGUGUGCUGUGAGGCAUGCUGGAGGUAUCAGAAGUGCGAAUGCUGACAUAAGUAACGAUAAAGCGGGUGAAAAGCCCGCUCGCCGGAAGACCAAGGGUUCCUGUCCAACGUUAAUCGGGGCAGGGUGAGUCGACCCCUAAGGCGAGGCCGAAAGGCGUAGUCGAUGGGAAACAGGUUAAUAUUCCUGUACUUGGUGUUACUGCGAAGGGGGGACGGAGAAGGCUAUGUUAGCCGGGCGACGGUUGUCCCGGUUUAAGCAUGUAGGCUG
RNAcentral lists this ribosomal RNA (426 nucleotides) under Klebsiella pneumoniae subsp. pneumoniae. RNAcentral's name for it is "bacterial LSU rRNA". It matches the Rfam family "Bacterial large subunit ribosomal RNA", at positions 1097 to 1527 of the family's 2925-position model. The record is from RNAcentral. Lineage: Bacteria; Pseudomonadati; Pseudomonadota; Gammaproteobacteria; Enterobacterales; Enterobacteriaceae.